Molecule: long non-coding RNA, 310 nt
Filed under: Vigna radiata
Lineage: Eukaryota; Viridiplantae; Streptophyta; Magnoliopsida; Fabales; Fabaceae
Description: long non-coding RNA (VRAD_LNC016132)
Source: RNAcentral
AUGUAUACAAAAACUUGAACUGCACUCCUCAGCUAAGACAACAUCACUUCCCAAAGUGAGUUUAUUGUCCUCAAGGGUGAAUUUUUCAAUUUUUUUAUGGGUGACUCAUGUUGUUGAUGGUCCCAAGUGUAUGGAAGGUCUGUUUUGGGUUGUCCAUUGUGUAUCAAGGAGCUCAUGUGAGUGUUUCCAACAGGGGAGGUCAAUUGUCUCAACAAUUAUAGGCCAAGAAGGCUUGAUAAUCGCUUAAAACUACCCUAUAAGCAAUUAACAAAGGCUAAAAGACGUUUUGUACAAAAACUUGACCUGUACU